AGGAUUAGAUACCCGGGUAGUCCCAGCUGUAAACGAUGCAGACUAGGUGUUUGGACGGCCACGUGCCGUUCUAGUGCCGCAGGGAAGCUGUUAAGUCUGCCGCCUGGGGAGUACGAUCGCAAGAUUGAAACUUAAAGGAAUUGGCGGGGGAGCACCACAAGGGGUGAAGCUUGCGGUUUAAUUGGAGUCAACGCCGGAAAUCUCACCGGGAGCGACAGCAGUAUGAAAGCCAGAUUGAAGGUCUUGCUAGACGAGCUGAGAGGAGGUGCAUGGCCGUCGCCAGUUCGUGCCGUGAGGUGUCCUGUUAAGUCAGGCAACGAUCGAGACCCGCGUCCUCUGUUGCAACCAGCUUUGUGCUGGGCACACUGAGGAGACCGCCACUGAUAAAGUGGAGGAAGGAGCGGGCCACGGCAGGUCAGUAUGCCCCGAAUCUCCCGGGCCACACGCGAGCUGCAAUGGCAAGUACAAUGGGUUCCGACCUCGAAAGGGGGAGGCAAUCUCGAAAGCUUGCCGUAGUUGGAAUUGAGGGUUGAAACCCACCCUCAUGAACAUGGAAUCCCUAGUAAUCGCGUGUCACUAGCGCGCGGUGAAUACGUCCCUGCUCCUUGCACACACCGCCCGUCGUUCCAUCCGAGUGACUCUUGGGUGAGGUACCGUCUAAUUGGCGGCAUCGAAUCUAAGUUUCAUAAGGAGGGAAAAGUCGUAACAAG
RNAcentral lists this ribosomal RNA (710 nucleotides) under uncultured bacterium. Its description in RNAcentral is "bacterial SSU rRNA". It matches the Rfam family "Archaeal small subunit ribosomal RNA", at positions 725 to 1442 of the family's 1478-position model. The record is from RNAcentral.